CCUUGGGAUUGGCUUAGGAGGGUUGGCAACGACCCCCCAGAGCCGAAACUUGGUCAAACUCGGUCAUUUAGGGGAAGUAAAAGUCGUAACAAGGUUUCCGUAGGUGAACUGCGGAAGGAUCAUUACCGGGUGAGGGCCCUCUGGGUCCAACCUCCCACCCGUGUUUAUUUUACCUUGUUGCUUCGGCGGGCCCGCCUUAACUGGCCGCCGGGGGGCUUACGUCCCCGGGCCCGCGCCCGCCGAAGACACCCUCGAACUCUGUCUGAAGAUUGUAGUCUGAGUGAAAAUAUAAAUUAUUUAAAACUUUCAACAACGGAUCUCUUGGUUCCGGCAUCGAUGAAGAACGCAGCGAAAUGCGAUACGUAAUGUGAAUUGCAAAUUCAGUGAAUCAUCGAGUCUUUGAACGCACAUUGCGCCCCCUGGUAUUCCGGGGGGCAUGCCUGUCCGAGCGUCAUUGCUGCCCUCAAGCACGGCUUGUGUGUUGGGCCCCGUCCUCCGAUCCCGGGGGACGGGCCCGAAAGGCAGCGGCGGCACCGCGUCCGGUCCUCGAGCGUAUGGGGCUUUGUCACCCGCUCUGUAGGCCCGGCCGGCGCUUGCCGAUCAACCCAAACUUUUAUCCAGGUUGACCUCGGAUCAGGUAGGGAUACCCGCUGAACUUAAGCAUAUCAAUAAGCGGAGGAAAAGAAACCAACAGGGAUUGCCCCAGUAACGGCGAGUGAAGCGGCAAGAGCUCAAAUUUGAAAGCUGGCUCCUUCGGGGUCCGCAUUGUAAUUUGUAGAGGAUGCUUUGGGAGCGGUCCCCAUCUAAGUGCCCUGG
Molecule: ribosomal RNA, 816 nt
Filed under: uncultured Penicillium
Lineage: Eukaryota; Fungi; Ascomycota; Eurotiomycetes; Eurotiales; Aspergillaceae
Description: eukaryotic LSU rRNA
Rfam family: 5.8S ribosomal RNA (bases 302-454)
Source: RNAcentral